This 406-nucleotide ribosomal RNA is filed under the name uncultured bacterium. RNAcentral describes it as "partial 16S ribosomal RNA". It matches the Rfam family "Bacterial small subunit ribosomal RNA", at positions 30 to 526 of the family's 1533-position model. The record is from RNAcentral.
AUUGAACGCUGGCGGCAGGCCUAACACAUGCAAGUCGAACGAGUGGCGGACGUGUGAGUAAUGUCUGGGAAACUGCCUGAUGGAGGGGGAUACCUACUGGAAACGGUAGCUAAUACCGCAUACUAUCGUAUGUGCCCAGAUGGGAUGAGCUAGUAGGUGGGGUAAAGGCUCACCUAGGCGACGAGCCCUAGCUGUUCUGAGAGGAUGCCCAGACACGCUGGAACUGAGACACGGUCCAGACUCCUACGGGCGUCAGCAGUGGGGAAUAUUGCACAAGGGGCGCACGCCUGAUGCAGCCAUGCCGCGUGUAUGAAGAAGGCCUUCGGGUUGUAAAGUACUUUCAGCGGGGAGGCGUUAACCGCAGAAGAAGCACCGGCUAACUCCGUGCCAGCAGCCGCGGUAAUAC